RNAcentral lists this long non-coding RNA (756 nucleotides) under Nicotiana benthamiana. Its description in RNAcentral is "long non-coding RNA (NBEN_LNC012522)". Lineage: Eukaryota; Viridiplantae; Streptophyta; Magnoliopsida; Solanales; Solanaceae. The record is from RNAcentral.
CACACUCAACCUUUCAAAAAUGUAUCAAAUACACACCAUUUUCUUCUUGAUCACUUAACCUAAAUAUGGGUAAUGUCACGCACCAAUAGGGUCGUGACACGUGUCAUUAACAUAAAUAAAUAAAACAAAAAAUAUAAAAUUACACAUAUACUCUCAUCUUCUCCAACCCCAUCUCUUCCACCUCCAUCUCCUCCACCGUGGAUUACUUGAAAAACUAGAACAUACAAUUCAACCAAAAAAUUAGGAGCCCAAGUGAUUUAAUCCCAGAAGGAAAUAAAAACAUCAAAAAUCAAUAAGCCAUGGCUCACAACACCGUAUCAUCACAACAACGAGGCUAUUAUUAAAAAAAAUGUAACAAUGGCAAUGCAAAUCGAAAAUUACAACUGCUUGGGUACCAUAUUUAUUGAAGCUUAUCUACAUCAACAAAGACAUAACAGGCUAUCAUUUAUAACUCUCUUCUAAAAUUUUGUUUGUCAUUUCCAUGGCUGCCAUCGCCACAACUGCUUGGGUACCAAAAUUUUGUUUGUCAUUUCCAUUAAAAAAUUGACGAUGAUGACAAUUUUAUUAAAUGUGAAUGAAAUCAAAAGGAGGCUGGAGACGAAAAAAGAUUGGAAGCUUAGAUUAAUACAAAAUAUGUAUAUUUAAGAGGAAACAAGAAAUAAUAAUUUGAGAAAGAAAAGAAACAGAAGGGAUUUGGUUGGGGGUGUUGGCUGGCGAAAGAGAGAGAAAGAGGAAGGGUAGGGAAAAUGAGAAAAU